GUACUUCCAUCGUCAAUGUGAAAAGGAGUUAACUGUCGCCUCAACCCCGACCAUCGCCGGCCUUCCUUUCUUGUGUGCCCCACCACCAAGCCAUUUCAUCAAAUUUAUGUAAUCUCCCUCUUACUACUCUCUGUACCUCGUUUUUCAUCUCCUACUAUUGAUUCACAAGUUAGGGUUUUCGUUUUUGUUUAAAUGCCCAAAAUUGGAUUUGUUCUUCAAAUUUUGAGUAAGGAAUUGUAUGAUUUUCAAUUAGAACUUUAAUUUUUGUUAAUUUUUUAUAAUUGUGCUUGUUGAGCGUGGAAUUGAGAUUAUUGGCAUACAUGAAUGACAUUGACUUCCUUGGUGACUUGCGUACAUAGUGAUGUAUGGGUUUUCUAUUUGGUGUGAUAAUGCAAAUCAAUUUUUAUUUCAAAAAUUUGUUGUAAAUUUUUAGUUUGUAGUCUUCCGUUCGUAAUUAAUGAAUUACUCUUUCUAUCAAUAAGAAAGUCAUGGAAUUGAUUAUUUAUUUGAAUUAUGCAAAUGGUUCAUUGUGAAAUAGAAUUGUUGAUUUGUAUUGGUUAGAAUUGCAGCUCCUUUCAAUAUCAGAUUGUUUCUGGUCUUUUUCAAAAGGAGUUGUACGGAACGGAUAUUUUGCACCGAAAUAGAGAGAAAUUUAAUGACGGAAUGUCUUGUAUGUGCUCUUCAUAAAUAAAUAAUGUGGAACUUCAAAGUUGCACUUCUAUUAUACACUACCAAUUAUAAAUUAUCCUCCUUUUCUUUUGCAGGGAAAAAGUUGUAUCCUCGUAUUAUCAAGAACUUUAUCAUGCAACCUAGGUAUGCCAUUAUCUAUGAUAUAAGGGUCUCCAUGUGAUUGAUUUUAAACAAAUAGCUUCACUAGCAAUUCAGAGUUGGAAUCUAAUGAUAAAUCUUUUAUUUUUUAUUACAAUCUAAUGAUUAACUAGUCUUCUUCAUAAAGGGCUUCAAGUUUGUUUUUAUGUAUGUGAACCUACGGGCAUGUGGUAUGGCGCUCUUAAAGUUCGAGUUCUUUAAUGAUUCGUGUAAAAGAGCAUAUCCAGUAGAUUUGGAUCCAUUCUUCACCACACGAUAAGGCGUUCAACAUUAUCUUACAAUAUUAGGUAAUUGCAUUAUUUUUCUCAUAAUUUUUAACAUGAGCAGAUAUUUUCCCCUUCUUACUAAAGAAAACAUGUGCUUCAUAUAAGCUUGGCUGUUUUUGUUCUAUAUCAAGAAUAUUUCUAUCUUCGAUCCUCUGUAGACUACCACAUUCAAUUUUAAUGGAAUAAAAUUUAUUUUUUUUGUUGAUUAUUGAGCAUGAAGGGUUUUUUUUUUUUUCGUAACUUCCUUUAGCUAACUUAUGCAGCUCAUAUUGCUCCAAAUACCAGAACUGGGGGCAAUCUGCUGAUGGUGAUAUUGAGAGUUUGGUAGAUAGUAAAUCUAUGAUAUUCAACCUUGUUCACGGGAUACGUGACUUGGCUUGAGAGUUGGUUAAUAGUAUUUGUGUUUAU
RNAcentral lists this long non-coding RNA (1502 nucleotides) under Erythranthe guttata (spotted monkey flower). RNAcentral's name for it is "long non-coding RNA (EGUT_LNC002012)". The record is from RNAcentral. Lineage: Eukaryota; Viridiplantae; Streptophyta; Magnoliopsida; Lamiales; Phrymaceae.